AGAGUUUGAUCCUGGCUCAGGAUGAACGCUGGCGGCAUGCCUAAUACAUGCAAGUCGAACGAGAGGAAGGAAAGCUUGCUUUCCUGAAUCUAGUGGCGAACGGGUGAGUAACACGUAGGUAACCUGCCCAUGUGCCCGGGAUAACUUCUGGAAACGGAUGCUAAAACCGGAUAGGUAGCAGACAAGCAUUUGACUGCUAUUAAAGUGGCCUUGGCCAUGAACAUGGAUGGACCUGCGGUGCAUUAGCUGGUUGGUGAGGUAACGGCCCACCAAGGCGACGAUGCAUAGCCGGCCUGAGAGGGCGGACGGCCACAUUGGGACUGAGACACGGCCCAAACUCCUACGGGAGGCAGCAGUAGGGAAUUUUCGUCAAUGGGGGGAACCCUGAACGAGCAAUGCCGCGUGAGUGAGGAAGGUCUUCGGAUCGUAAAGCUCUGUUGUAAGAGAAAAACGGCACUCAUAGGGAAUGAUGAGUGAGUGAUGGUAUCUUACCAGAAAGUCACGGCUAACUACGUGCCAGCAGCCGCGGUAAUACGUAGGUGGCGAGCGUUAUCCGGAAUGAUUGGGCGUAAAGGGUGCGUAGGUGGCAGAUCAAGUCUGGAGUAAAAGGUAUGGGCUCAACCCGUACUGGCUCUGGAAACUGAUCAGCUAGAGAACAGAAGAGGACGGUGGAACUCCAUGUGUAGCGGUAAAAUGCGUAGAUAUAUGGAAGAACACCGGUGGCGAAGGCGGCCGUCUGGUCUGGAUUCUGACACUGAAGCACGAAAGCGUGGGGAGCAAAUAGGAUUAGAUACCCUAGUAGUCCACGCCGUAAACGAUGAGAACUAGGUGUUGGGGGAAUCACUCAGUGCCGCAGUU
RNAcentral lists this ribosomal RNA (858 nucleotides) under uncultured bacterium. RNAcentral describes it as "bacterial SSU rRNA". It matches the Rfam family "Bacterial small subunit ribosomal RNA", at positions 8 to 853 of the family's 1533-position model. The record is from RNAcentral.